ACGCUGGCGGCGUGCCUAAUACAUGCAAGUCGAACGCCUUGUGGUUUUAAUGAAUAGCGUGCUUGCACAAUAUGAUUUAAAACAAUGCAAGGAGUGGCGAACGGGUGAGUAACACGUGGGAAACCUACCUCUUAGCAGGGGAUAACAUUUGGAAACAGAUGCUAAUACCGUAUAACACUAAAAACCGCAUGGUUUUUAUUUGAAAGAUGGUUCUGCUAUCACUAAGAGAUGGUCCCGCGGUGCAUUAGUUAGAUGGUGAGGUAAUGGCUCACCAUGACGAUGAUGCAUAGCCGAGUUGAGAGACUGAUCGGCCACAAUGGGACUGAGACACGGCCCAUACUCCUACGGGAGGCAGCAGUAGGGAAUCUUCCACAAUGGGCGCAAGCCUGAUGGAGCAACGCCGCGUGUGUGAUGAAGGGUUUCGGCUCGUAAAGCACUGUUGUAAGAGAAGAAUGUACUUGAGAGUAACUGUUCAAGUAGUGACGGUAUCUUACCAGAGAGGGACGGCUAAAUACGUGCCAGCAGCCGCGGUAAUACGUAUGUCCCAAGCGUUAUCCGGAUUUAUUGGGCGUAAAGCGAGCGCAGACGGUUAUUUAAGUCUGAAGUGAAAGCCCUCAGCUCAACUGAGGAAUUGCUUUGGAAACUGGAUGACUUGAGUGCAGUAGAGGAAAGUGGAACUCCAUGUGUAGCGGUGAAAUGCGUAGAUAUAUGGAAGAACACCAGUGGCGAAGGCGGCUUUCUGGACUGUAACUGACGUUGAGGCUCGAAAGUGUGGGUAGCAAAC
RNAcentral lists this ribosomal RNA (784 nucleotides) under uncultured bacterium. RNAcentral describes it as "bacterial SSU rRNA". It matches the Rfam family "Bacterial small subunit ribosomal RNA", at positions 33 to 773 of the family's 1533-position model. The record is from RNAcentral.